RNAcentral lists this ribosomal RNA (253 nucleotides) under uncultured bacterium. Its description in RNAcentral is "partial 16S ribosomal RNA". It matches the Rfam family "Bacterial small subunit ribosomal RNA", at positions 524 to 776 of the family's 1533-position model. The record is from RNAcentral.
UACAGAGGGUGCGAGCGUUGUCCGGAAUCACUGGGCGUAAAGGGCGCGUAGGUGGCGCCGCAAGUCCAUGGUGAAAGCUCGAUGCUCAACAUCGAGUCGGCCACGGAGACUGCGGGGCUCGAGCACUGUAGGGGCAGAUGGAAUUCCGGGUGUAGCGGUGGAAUGCGUAGAGAUCCGGAAGAACACCGGUGGCGAAGGCGGUCUGCUGGGCAGUUGCUGACACUGAGGCGCGACAGUGUGGGGAGCAAACAGG